Molecule: long non-coding RNA, 1961 nt
Organism: Lagopus leucura (white-tailed ptarmigan)
Lineage: Eukaryota; Metazoa; Chordata; Aves; Galliformes; Phasianidae
Exons: 3
Source: RefSeq, a predicted model, not a curated record
GCUUGUGCACUUGAAGGGAAUUGGGUUAGAGGCUCUUUCUGGGGCUUUGGAGUCGCAGCUGGAGCUCUUGCUCUCUGCCUCCUUCCCUUCCCUUCCCUGUUCAAGGCUGAGCGGCUUUAUGGGACCUGCCAGCUCGCAUCAGAGAGACUGGGGAGUAUUCAUGCAGGCACCUGCGGAUCUUCUGGAUCAGUGAAAUGGGAAAAAGUCUUGCAUCCUGCUGUGAUUGACUGCAUACCACUUGUAUGCACAGCAUCAAUAGGUUCUGAACCAGCUCUCUAGGAACACGCAAGGAAGAGAAGCCCCAGGAGAGCACCUGAUACAACUCACAUCCUCAGGGACAAGCAAUACUAAGUGAGCAGUGGCAGUACAAUUCUUGGCUGACUUAUCCUGAGAGUGAAAACAAAGAGUAAUGCCAAUUCAAUUGCCAUCCCUCCGUAGCUUGGAUGGCCCUCGGUGACUUAAGGAGCUAAAUUACCUACUGGCAGUUGACCCGAAACUUCCCUUCUCAUUCAUAAAGACGAACACAGCCCAGAUCUACAAAUUUUGGUUCACUACUGGAUCGGGAAAACUCUGAGAAGCUUCACUAACCAUCACACAAUUCAUACAUUGCCUGCAAUCAAUUCUUUUUAUUUUUUGAUAUUUCCAAAGUACCAACAACGUUCUGCACCAGCAGGUAAAGGCAGGAAGAAAAGCUUCUUGUCACAAAGAGAUUGCCAUUUAGAUACACUGCGUACUGACAAAGGAGAGUGUAAUGGGAAGCAAAGAGUGAGCAGAGUAAUUGAAUGAUGCAUUUAAGCAUACAUUUUGUUAUCUCUGUGGAGUUUUAUGUUUGUUUUCUUCUUGACUUAUUGAAUUCGGUGUUCAUACUUUUCAAUCAUUCAUUAGCUAAACAGUUCUCUUGUGGCUUGCCUAGAUUAGGAAAUGAGGACUGGGACAAGUUAAAACUAAGAAAAAGGUGGGUAUUUUCUUAAGCAAAGGCAGCUCACAUCACUUCUGGAACACCUCUCUCUACUUGCUCAUUAGCAUUUACCAGAGAGCUGCCUGAUGCCUACAUUCUGCAGAAUUAGGUUUUUUUCUUAACCCCAGUGAAGUCUUUACAGACAAGACAGUUUGCUACAGACAUUGCAAGCUGGCCAGCCAACACUCAGGCAACCAAAUCACUGGGAUUUGGACCAUAAAAACAAUUUAGGCAAAAUCUGAAACAUGAGUGAUCUUUUUAGCAUCUCUCAGUCUAUGAGAAGUUAUUCUAUGAAACAGCAUAAUGGAAAGGAUUAAGGAGAGGACUAUUUUUCCUCCCCACAAGGAAUUGUUAAAAGGACAAAUUGCUACAAUCCAUCCUGCAUGAUUUUAGAAUUUUUCAAAGACUUUGUCCACACCUGAACCAUGUACCCACCCACCCUUCUCCUCAACUAGUUUUUCUCCCCACUGAGGAGAAUGCAAUCCAUACAAUCUAUUUUAAAUGUUUACCAGUUGUUUGGAAAAGUUCCUGCUUUUCUCUACUGGCCAUAAAGAAAUACAGAAUGUCCAGACCUAACCAGGACACUUGCAGAGUUCAUACUGAUAAAUCAUAUUUAAACAUAUUUAAAACACACUUUAUUUGUAGCCAUCCUUAUUUAAAGGAACCUAACAGUAACAUCAGAACACUGAGCAUGCAGAGCUAAGAUGGUCUCCAAACUAGGUCAUGAAAAUAUUUCCAACAGUGAUUUUAUCCCAUUCUAUCACAACAGUACAAAAGUACAAAUGGUUAAACUUUUUAGUGAGGCAAGCAAAGACUGGUUGCACUGUGGCACUUUUUUCAAUACCAAAUACGAAAAAGUCUACUAAUAAAUCUUACAGGAAUAUGGCUAAUUAACAGAAAAGAUGUGCUUAUGAUUGUGGACACUGUAAUCUCUCAGGGCAAUAAUCAUAUCUUCCUAUGUGCUUGUCCCUUUAUAGGGAAUAAAAAUAUCCCAACUCACCAA